GCUAUUCAUACACUUUUGCCAAGUCCAAGGCUCUGGCUGGGUAGAAUUGCCUCAGGACAACCUGUAGGAAAGUCCUGUUCACAGAACUCUGAUGGGAAAUAUUUAACACUCUUAGGCAGGUCACUGCUUCACAGGUCAGAACGGUUGGAUGAAGUUUCUCAGUGGGAGAUGGUGGCUAGGAGAUGGUGGGAAAUCUAUUGUGCUGUUGAACAAGAGACCUAUCAGAGUUUAUGGAAAGUGACAAUUCCCUUCUACUGAGAAGAAGCAGGGUGGGUGUGGGUGUGGGUGUGGGCGUGGGUGUGUGUGUGUGUAUGAGAGAGAGAGAGAGAGAGAAGAACAUUCAGUUGUGAAGCUCACUGGAGAAGCAGGUUGGUCCAAACAAAUGUGACAGUCCAUCAGAAAACAUAUGGUACCUUGGACAGCUCCAAGAGAUCCUAUUAGGACAGACUCCAAAGGUGUUGUCACUGCAGAGAGCUACAGCUUCAUGUAGGCUGAGUAGAUCUGGUGUGUGGUAGACUCCAUCUACCAGGAGGGCCUGGUUGGUUGGUUGGUUACAGAGUCCUAGCCUUAUUUUGUAGUCCUUGACUUCUGAGAGGCUGGAGAGACACAGCCGGGACCCUUUUAUCUUCUCAUACAUGUACACUACUUAGAAAAGUUUAAGUGGUUUAUAAGUGUGUAGUAACAACAGCAGCAACAACAUCUACUUUCCUUGAAGAUCUGUAAGUAACGCAAAUAUUACAAAUAUGCCUCAAGUACAAAGGAAAUCAAGCGUGCUGCCCUUGAAAAACUUGACAAAAUCACCAUGGUCUAAAAAUAUAAUCUUACAGUUUGAAAUCUAUUAAUUUUAACAACUGAGUGAAUUAAUUUAAGAGGUUUUUCACCCAUUAUAUGUGAAUGUAACAUACCUUUUCUUGUCCUGGAGAAUAUCUAAGAGUGAAUUAAACACAUUUUCAGAUCGCUCCACUAUGCCAGCAGGAUAUUUGUUUGUCUGCAGUUGACUUUACAAGAAUAGUUUUGAGUCCUGAAAUUAGGGGGAAGGAAUGCUUAUGAUCAUCAAGGCAUUCUGCCAAUGAAAACUUCAGAUUGAGCUAAAAAUGUCUUGUGUCCAGAUUUUUGCCUAAUAUAGGAUGCCAUUUUAAUAUAAGGGCUUCACGGAUUAUAACAGAAUUAAAUUUGAAAAGAAAUAUGAUUUUUGAUUUGGUGAGGUUUUCAGAUGAUCUCUUACUAGAAAUGUAUGGAAUAAAAUGUCUCAGUGAACCAGCAAAAUAGCAACUUGACCACACCAAACCACGUAUAAUACAUAACUGAUUCAUCCUACCCUAUGGUAUUCUGUUCCACCCUCAUUUACUGAGGAAAUCAAGUGAAACACUGAUAAUCAGUCAUUUUCCAGUGGUCUAGGUGUAUUUUUUAAAUAAAAUAAAAUAAAAUCAGAGAUAAAACAUGUAGCUAUUUCCACGUACCAUAUUCUACUUGUGUCUAACAGUGCAAUCCUGUACAUGUAUACUCAGAAGAAAGGCCCAUUGGGAUUUACGGAGCUUACACCCAGGUAAGUGGACAUAGGAUUGUAGCCCAAUUCUUUCGAUUACUGUUAGAAAUAUUUUUGCACCAUAUUUUUAUACUGUUAUUUUCUUCAUCUUUAAAAAAAAUGAAUAUGGAGAAAGUUUAUUUCCCUCUGCUUUAUACUAGAUUGAAUCUUGUGUUCAGAAAUGUUGCUGGCAAAUUGCCUUUGCUGAUGGAUGUAGACUGGCUGAAUAUUCCACUCAGACCACCAAUCCAGCGGCUCGUACCCAUUCUGGGGAUCUGCUGUUUACACACAUUUCCAUGCAAACAGCAUGGGACUUUAUUUAGUGGAUAGGGAACUCUCCCAUUUUCUUAAUUGGUACAGAUGUGGAAACACUGAACAAUAAUUUAUUUUGAAAGAAUUUACCUUUUUGCCAUUUGCCUAGGAAUCAUUUUAAGCUUUUUGCAUGCAUUGAAAUUAUAACAUACACACUCUUCCACAUUCCACUCAACCCACAUUGGGGGCAAUCAGUUUCGGGUUUCGGCUAUGAUCCAGCCAUGAUCAUAGCACAUUUCAUAUAAUUAUACAAAUGUCACUUGCUUUUCUUUCUCCAUCAGGAGAUGAUUGGGUUGCUUGCAGCUUUCAUAAUUAAAACGCUUGCUUAUUUUGACUGGCUAUAGAAAAAGAAGAUAAAAGAAUGCAGUGGAUAUACAAUUUAUGACUGAUGUGUAAAGUUCCAUGGGAAGAAAAAUAGAAGUGAAACCUGAGAUUUUUUUAUUAUUAUUCUUCCCUUAGUACUUCUUUUUUAGGAGCUUUGUACAAUAUGGGCUAAAUAUUUAAAGCAUCAUGUCUGCAUGUUCAGUGAUAUUUAGGUAGAGAGCUUCCUGUGAUCACAGGGUGGUGGUAACUUUGAAAGAAUUAUGCGUGUAACUGGUAAAGCAAAGGUAUGCUUUGUAUGCUGUAUUUUUGUAGUUAAGUUUGGCACAAAGGCAUGACAUCAUAAAUCCCUUUGCCCUAGAUUUUCACCCCAAUUGGAAGAUGUAGUGGAAGCAGAAUGUGACUCUUCUACUUUCUGCAUAUAUUCUUUGUUGCAAUAUAUGUCUAAUCCUGUAUGUUUAUGCCAGUGGACUUUAAUGUCACUAAGAAUGUCUUCCUGGCUUAAGGCCAGUGACUUGUUUUGAGAGUAAGUUAGUUGAAUGUAGAUUCCAUUGAAAUCAGUGCGACCAGAGGUGGAUUUAGGCGAUUGCAACCAAUUCUGUUACACUGGGCGCAGAGCCUCAAGGGCCUUGCAAGGGACCCCACAACUACUAUUUAGAAUGGAGAGUGAGAAACAGGAUGCUGAAUGUUGCCAUCACACAGGGCGCCACUGAAAUGUGAGACCCCAAGGUCUGUCACUGGUGGGGUAUUCAUGACUAAAACCCCAGGGAUUUCAAUGGGAACUUACACCAACCAGACUAAGGUGCUUCCAAAUGACCUGUUUAUUGAGCAUUCACCCUGAUUAGUUUGUUGGAAGGUUAAAUCACCUUGGCUAUUAGUGAGCAUUCAUCCUGAUUUGUUUAUGGAAAUGUUAGAUGAUGACGGGUCCAGAAAUGCAAUUGCCCAUCACUUCCUUUAUUACAAAAAGUUUGAUCUUUGGGGGAAGCAGAUUUGUUGUGCAAGAUCUCCCAAUAAACUGUAAUUGUGCAACCUGAAUCUGUCACUUUGUGAUUGAGCCCCACUCAAAAAUAGUGACAGCUUGGAAGUCUGGAUAUAAACCAGUAUGUAUACUGGGUUAUACCAUAUACCAGUAUAUACAAACUAUAGUCCUCUGAUAGAGCCCUGCUCCCCAUACAUCUCUCUCUAUGCAGUUGCUGUUACAUGCAGCCCCUCUGACUUUUGUCACCUUCCCAGAACCAUCCUAUUCUCUUGUAGGUGUUUUGAAGAUAUAAAUAGUUUCGCACACCACAAUUCCCCAGAAUUGCUUCUUGUUCUCCAAAGGAUUCCUUUCUCCUUCCCCAGUUUCUGCAUGCCUCCUACCCCUUAUCCAUUCAUGCUUCUUCUCCCCGAGUCUCCCCUCCCUCUUCCUACACUUGUGAGCCCCCAGCUGAAUCAUCACCCCUUUCACAAGUGUUCAGACAGACCCUUAAAAAAGUAAUAAUAUGCUUCUCUUUUCCUCUUUAAAGCUCUUUCCCCUUCCUUCACCGAGCUGCACUGCAACAUAUUCCCUCCCCUCCAUCUCCUGUGAAGCCAGAAGUCAUCCUGCAACUCACCCCUCCUCUCCCAGCCUCUCUUCUGGGAAGCCUUUCAUAGUGAACAAAUGAAGCUGCUG
Podarcis lilfordi (Lilford's wall lizard) is the source of this 3809-nucleotide non-coding RNA. Lineage: Eukaryota; Metazoa; Chordata; Lepidosauria; Squamata; Lacertidae. The record is from the annotation of a GenBank genome assembly.